RNAcentral lists this ribosomal RNA (434 nucleotides) under uncultured Roseburia sp. RNAcentral's name for it is "bacterial SSU rRNA". It matches the Rfam family "Bacterial small subunit ribosomal RNA", at positions 341 to 792 of the family's 1533-position model. The record is from RNAcentral. Lineage: Bacteria; Bacillati; Bacillota; Clostridia; Lachnospirales; Lachnospiraceae.
ACGGGAGGCAGCAGUGGGGAAUAUUGCACAAUGGGCGAAAGCCUGAUGCAGCGACGCCGCGUGAGCGAAGAAGUAUUUCGGUAUGUAAAGCUCUAUCAGCAGGGAAGAUAAUGACGGUACCUGACUAAGAAGCACCGGCUAAAUACGUGCCAGCAGCCGCGGUAAUACGUAUGGUGCAAGCGUUAUCCGGAUUUACUGGGUGUAAAGGGAGCGCAGGCGGUACGGCAAGUCUGAUGUGAAAGCCCGGGGCUCAACCCCGGUACUGCAUUGGAAACUGUCGAACUAGAGUGUCGGAGGGGUAAGUGGAAUUCCUAGUGUAGCGGUGAAAUGCGUAGAUAUUAGGAAGAACACCAGUGUCGAAGGCGGUUAGCUGGACAAUAACUGACGCUGAGGCGCGAAAGCGUGGGUAGCAAACAGGAUUAGAUACCCUGGUA